RNAcentral lists this ribosomal RNA (589 nucleotides) under Polaromonas sp. StRD704. Its description in RNAcentral is "bacterial SSU rRNA". It matches the Rfam family "Bacterial small subunit ribosomal RNA", at positions 102 to 687 of the family's 1533-position model. Lineage: Bacteria; Pseudomonadati; Pseudomonadota; Betaproteobacteria; Burkholderiales; Comamonadaceae. The record is from RNAcentral. RNAcentral also lists the same sequence under 1 other name.
ACGGGUGAGUAAUGUAUCGGAACGUGCCCAAUCGUGGGGGAUAACGUAGAGAAAUUUACGCUAAUACCGCAUACGAUCUAAGGAUGAAAGCGGGGGAUCGCAAGACCUCGCGCGAUUGGAGCGGCUGAUAUCAGAUUAGGUUGUUGGUGAGGUAAAAGCUCACCAAGCCGACGAUCUGUAGCUGGUUUGAGAGAACGACCAGCCACACUGGGACUGAGACACGGCCCAGACUCCUACGGGAGGCAGCAGUGGGGAAUUUUGGACAAUGGGCGCAAGCCUGAUCCAGCAAUGCCGCGUGCAGGAAGAAGGCCUUCGGGUUGUAAACUGCUUUUGUACGGAACGAAACGGUUCUUUCUAAUAAAGAGAGCUAAUGACGGUACCGUAAGAAUAAGCACCGGCUAACUACGUGCCAGCAGCCGCGGUAAUACGUAGGGUGCGAGCGUUAAUCGGAAUUACUGGGCGUAAAGCGUGCGCAGGCGGUUAUGUAAGACAGUUGUGAAAUCCCCGGGCUCAACCUGGGAAUUGCAUCUGUGACUGCAUAGCUAGAGUACGGUAGAGGGGGAUGGAAUUCCGCGUGUAGCAGUGAAAU